UUUUUUUCCCCUUUUUUUUUUCAUCCCGCUGCCCCUGUGCCAGUUAAUUUAAAUGUAUCUGUUCAAGUGGAGAUAAUCCAUGCAAAUCAGAGGCACUGGCUCUCAGUGCUUGAUUCACAAAGAGAACUCAGCUUCAGGAGGUCACUCGUUCACAGCUGCUCCUCCCAUUAUAUUUUUCCCUUAUUGCAGAACUGCUGCAUGUAUACAGUGACUGAAAGGACUCAAUUUACUGCAACUGCUGCCUGGUUUUACUUACAACUUUCUUUAAAGGGGGACUUACCUUCUAUCUGUCUUACUAAGGUGAAGGUGCACCAGGGACAUCACCAAAAGCUGGGCACUAUGAGACCUAAUCUUUGGUAGGAGCCCAUGAGGGAUUGGAGGUCCUACUGUGACAGACUUCAUUUGGCUUCUUCUUCGUUGCUGUUUCCUUUCCUCAAAGGAUUUCUAAUGAAGUUGAGAUGAAGAUUCUGCUGCAUAGACAGCAAAAAGUGCUCAAGGAGGUUUACGCCUCCAGCAUGCUGCAAAGUCAUCUCUCCCACGGACCUAGGGUCUGAUAGCU
Long non-coding RNA from Pezoporus occidentalis (night parrot), 559 nucleotides. RefSeq lists it as uncharacterized. Lineage: Eukaryota; Metazoa; Chordata; Aves; Psittaciformes; Psittacidae. The record is from RefSeq and is a predicted model, not a curated record. The transcript is spliced from 3 exons.